Molecule: ribosomal RNA, 278 nt
Filed under: Cercopithifilaria sp. II DO-2012
Lineage: Eukaryota; Metazoa; Nematoda; Chromadorea; Rhabditida; Onchocercidae
Description: partial 12S ribosomal RNA
Source: RNAcentral
AAAAAAUAUUGACUGACUUUGGAUUUUUUUUUGGAACAUGUAAAGUUUUUGGAAGGCCCUCCUUUUUUAGGAAAUUUUAUAGGCGCAUGUAUGAUUGUUUAGUUUUUAUUUUUUAUGUGAUGCUUUUUCUAUUUUGGUUAAAAAACAGAUAAAUACUUGGUUUAUAUUUUUAAUUUUUAUGUGUUACUAUUAUUAAUUUUUUUUGGAUGUUUUUUUAUUAUGUUAUUGAAAUUGGAAAAGAUAGUAAUUUUUUCUUUAUGUUUGUAUGAAUUUAAUAA